CAGUACGGUACAAAGGCUAACUACGCCACGUUCUGUGAAAGUGCCUUCGUAACCAACAUCCUAUUGG
RNAcentral lists this small RNA (67 nucleotides) under Gracilibacillus halotolerans. Its description in RNAcentral is "Bacillaceae-1 RNA". It matches the Rfam family "Bacillaceae-1 RNA". Lineage: Bacteria; Bacillati; Bacillota; Bacilli; Caryophanales; Bacillaceae. The record is from Rfam by way of RNAcentral.